UGAGUAAGACAGAUGGUCGCUGCUGCAUGACCGAAAGGAUGCAGGAGAGGAAAGUCCGGGCUUCAAAGGGCAGGGUGCCAGAUAACGUCUGGCGGAGGCGACUCCAGGGACAGUGCAACAGAAAUAAACCGCACGGCUUGCCGUGUAAGGGUGGAAAGGCAGUGUAAGAGACUACCGCCUCGCUGGUAACAGAGAGGGCACAUGUAAACCCCAUCCGAAGCAAGGCCGAACAGGGAGCAUAAGGCGGCCCGUCUGCUCCCGGGUAGGCCGCUUGAGCUGUCUGGCGACAGACAGCCUAGAUAGAUGACCAUCCAGGACAUAACCCGGCUUACAGUCUUGCUCAGAGC
RNAcentral lists this RNase P RNA (347 nucleotides) under Lachnospiraceae bacterium. RNAcentral describes it as "RNase P RNA component class A". It matches the Rfam family "Bacterial RNase P class A". From Rfam's summary of the family: Ribonuclease P (RNase P) is a ubiquitous endoribonuclease, found in archaea, bacteria and eukarya as well as chloroplasts and mitochondria. RNAcentral also lists the same sequence under 3 other names. The record is from RNAcentral. Lineage: Bacteria; Bacillati; Bacillota; Clostridia; Lachnospirales; Lachnospiraceae.